Molecule: non-coding RNA, 98 nt
Organism: Pongo abelii (Sumatran orangutan)
Lineage: Eukaryota; Metazoa; Chordata; Mammalia; Primates; Hominidae
Source: Rfam
UUCACUUAGGAAUCUUAUUAAAAUCCAGAUUCUAACUCAGUAUGUCUGGAAUGAGGUCUGAGAUUCUGCAUUAUUAAUAAACUCCCAAGUGAUGCUAA